CAACUUUGAGCGGAAUCAUGCCUAUCAUGUAACUGUAUGUUUCACCUUAAAACAAUUGACCAACUAUGAUUUACUUAAAGGUUUCCAUUUUAGUAACAGUUGGAACUAUUUUGACUAUGGCCUCUUUACAUUUUGAAGAUACGCGAAGAGAUAUAAAUGCUGCUUCGAGUAAAAAUUGCACUGCUAAGUGUAAAGGAGAUGACUGUAAAGCAAAUUGUACCGGAACAAUGUCUUCAGCGAUGGCCAUAGGAUUUCACUCUUCAGCAACGGUAUAUGGUGACUUAUCAAUAGCCGAAUGUCAGGGGCCAUUUUGUAAAGUGUUCUGCGACGGAAUUAUAAAUGUGUGCAUGUCUAAGUGUGCCGGUCGUGCCUGUGAGGCAACGUGUCGUUCCGGAUCAUGUCUAACAUAUAGUGAUGGAUUGUCUUCAUCGUCUAACUGUGUGGGGCAUAAGUGUAGCGCAAACUGCACAGGCGUGAGUUGUAAAUCUGAGGUAAGUCAUUGAGUGACUACGGUCUUCCUCAAAUACUGCCCGAUAUACUUUAUAUUAUUUGCGAAUACAUUGCAGAAACAAGUUACAACUCAACAAAAUUGAACGCCAUAGUCGAAGAUAUUUUAUUUAAUUUUACACGGGAAUAGUCUCAAAUAUUUCAAUAGUCGUCCAAAGUACCUUUAAUAAUGAAGGAAAGCUGUUUAUCCUAGAUGCCCUGGGAGGAACAGGGAAGACCUUUGUAAUUAAGGCAAUACUAGCUGAAAUACGAAGACAAGGUAAAAUCGCUCUAGCAACUGCGACGUCACGUAUCAAGGCUGCCUAGCUUCCCGGAGGGAAAACAGCUCACACAAUGUUUAAAAUACCACUAGAUACGAUGUCGCCAACUUCAACCUGUGCGAUAUCACGCAACUGUGAAUGGGAUGGAAUGUUGGAUAGAUAACAAGGAAUGUUGCCUCAUCAUCGUUUGUGAUAAAUACAAACAAAAAACCUGAUGAGAAACUGUACACCGCCAAAACUGUGAACGGUACUCAGCUGAAAGUAACAGCAUUGCAUAGACAAGACAAGAAUCUCAGUAGAUUCUUACAGGAUGUGGUUCAGAGGUAAUCAAUAUCAAUAAGUCACAAGGUUUAUAACUUUAAGAGUCGCUGGAGUGGAUUUAAGAUAGUUUUUCCCACGGCCAACUUUACGCUUGCUCACGGGUCAGUAGUGCGGUCCAUCUAUUUUUACUAGCGACAUUAUUAGCUUUCCGUAUGGAAACAUUAUUAGUUUUCCAUUCGGAAAGCUAAUAAUGUCGUAUAUAAACAAAUUCUUUGAGUUUACUUUACCUCAAAGGAUUGCUGUAUUGACCAAAUAUAUUUUAUUGGUAAGGUCACUUGUAUAUCGAUUUCACAUUAUAUACAUUCAACUCGAAAUUUACGCGGACGAAGUCGCAAAUUUACAAAUGUGAUUACGAACAGGCCCAAAUGAAGUAUGUUAAUAAUUCCUUUCCGGGUGUAAAAUGGCUGCUUUUAUCACUUAAGGCAGAAUGGAAAAAUCAAAAGAGCUGAAAACAACAUUCUCUAAAGAGGGUAGAAAAAUAACUAGAUUGUGUUCUGUUUCCACCCCUGCCUUUACAACGAAUUCCUGAGGCUUGGGGACAAAUUCUAGAACAAGCUCCAAUCACCACCAAAAUGCAAGCUUUCCUUAAAUACUUGGAUUAUUUUAUCUGUAGUUAUGGUCCUGUCCCAGUAGAUUCUAAUAUUGCCAUUAUCUAGUAUGGCUUCCGGUUGGUAUUUAUAAUGGGUAUUUUGUGAGGAAUAAAAUUAUUUUUGUGUGCUAGAUGCUGAUACACAAUAGCAGCCACUUGAUCGUGGCGAUGCUUAUAAUCAGUUUGUGCCAGGGAUUUUCAGGCUCAGGUUAUGUGUUGUAUUGUCUCGGGGUUAGAAUGGCAAUGUCUGCAUAUGUCGGAUGGAAUGACAGCUCGUAUGAUAUGUUUUUGAUAAUUUCGUGUGUCUAUAACUUGAUCUUGAAUCGCUAUCAUGAACGCUUCAGUUUCUGGGAAGAGCUCACCUCGACGCAGCCAGGCGUUCGACGCUAGUUUGUCGACAUAGGGCUGUUCAAUGUCUUGGUAAUGCCUGCCAUGAAGGGAUUUCUGCUUCCAUGAUGCGAUUUUAUCGUGUAUGGUGAUGACUUGUUCUUUUCUUUGGGUAUUUCUGUCUCUAAGAUUAACGGGUGUCAGUUUUUUAUCAGCAUUAUUUAUGAAGUUUGGAAUGUACAUAGAAAAAACUCGAGUUUUAUUACAAAUACAAACAUUUAAAUUAAAUUUCAGUGUGAAGGAACUAGCUGCAUAUCAGAGUGUUUUGCUAAAGACUGUAAAGCUCAUUGCAUCGGUCCAGCUUGCGAAGCAAAGUGUUCUGGACGCCGAUGCAAACAUAGCCAAAGCUAACUGCAGUAAAAUAAACUACCACCGA
Molecule: RNA transcript, 2440 nt
Organism: Plodia interpunctella (Indianmeal moth)
Lineage: Eukaryota; Metazoa; Arthropoda; Insecta; Lepidoptera; Pyralidae
Gene name: keratin-associated protein 10-6-like
Exons: 18
Source: RefSeq, a predicted model, not a curated record